RNAcentral lists this long non-coding RNA (5882 nucleotides) under Malus domestica (apple). Its description in RNAcentral is "long non-coding RNA (MDOM_LNC009321)". The record is from RNAcentral. Lineage: Eukaryota; Viridiplantae; Streptophyta; Magnoliopsida; Rosales; Rosaceae.
UUGUUGCCCGGUGUGGAUAUUGCCAUGGUGGGUUGUGUGUGUAAGGAAUUGAGGGAUCUUGCUAACGAUGACGAACUGUGGAAGCAGAAGGUUUUUGAUGAGUUUACUGUUGAGUUUCUUCUUGAUCAAACCUCAAGCAUUAUCAGUUUUGGAUAAUGGUGAAAUGUUUUACAAAUAAAUUGUGAGAAAUUAUAUGAAAAUUUUGAAUAAAAGGAAUAAAUUCGUAUCAAAAUUAUGCCAAGUUCUGUGAAUUCUGCUAAAUCAAACAUCAAUUACAGUUGUGGAUUGUUCAAUAGAUUAUUGUGACACAUUCCAUGGGCUGUACCACGUCAGACACUAAAUGACCAAAUAAAAAAAAAUGUGUUAGCCCAGCAACUGCGGGAUGAAGGGGUACCAGCCCAUCCUGACUUUUGAAAAAAAAAAUUAGUGCACUACUCAUUGUUCUUUUCUUGUUGCUAGUAAAAGAAAAUGGGGCACAUCCCAAAGAAAAGUCAAAGAGUAAAUUAGGCACAUCCUACCAAAAAACUUUGAUUGUUCCUAAAAAUAAUUUUCAAAUAACAUUACUUCAAAAUUAUUUUGGGUAAAUUACAUAGUAGCCCUCAGGUUUGAGGUCUAUUACAACCCAUAUAACAUUUUACUUUCAUACCUCAAGUACUAUUUUAUUUCAAAAUAAUACAUCCGUUACAUUUUCCAUCCAUUGAUCUGUUAAGUGCUAACGUGGCUUCCAAAUGUGUGCCACUUGGCUGCCAAAUGUAUGCCACAUGGCAAAAAUAAUAAUUUUUUAUUUUUUUUUCUUGAAAAAUCUGAAUCUUCUUAAAAAAAACAAAGCAAAAGCUAAACCCCCUUCCCCUCCCCCCACACCCACACACAAAAACCUAGAAACUUACACACCCCCUUUCCCAGACGACCCACCUCUCAGAGGCCCUUCCCGUCGCCCCCUCCGCCCCCCUCUCAUCUCCCCUAUCUUCAUCCUCUUCCCCCGACCCCCGUACCUGCAACCUAGAGAAAAAAAAACCCCAAUCCCGUCUAAACUUCGAUUCUUCUCGCUCCUUUGACCUCUCGCGCUUCGCUUCUCGAUGCCUGGACCUCUCUCUGCUCCCUUCCCUCUCUUCCUUCGGCUUGUAGGACAGUUCACAGUGGUCGCGUGAGACAUCCCGACCGUUGUUACUCGGCUCGCUUGACUGUUCGCGGCGUGAUUUGUGGUCGCAGGGCUCGCAAGAGAUCUCGCGCUUGGAAUUACGGUCCAAUCGGUGGUGGUGGUGGUGGUGGUGGUAAUCGAAGUCCUUUGACGAUCGCUUUUCAUCGGCAUCACGACUGCGAUGUUUGUCGUAGUCUCUGUCGUCCUCACUCCAGAGCUUCAAAGAAUGGUGGUUGCUGUCCCUAAGGUCAAACUCUUGGAUUUCUGUGUAUGAAUUGAGAAAAUUGUUGUUUAAUUUCAUGAUUUGAAUAUCUUGGAAUGUUGUGGGUGAGGUUACAGAUGAGAGAAGGGAGAAAGGGGGUGGGGGUGAAAAGGAGAAAGGGCUCGGGGAAGGUGGGGGUGGGGUGGGUUUUUAGAUGGGAGGGGAGGUGAAGAGAGUGGAGGAGAGGGAGGUGGUUGGGAGGGAGAAGAAGGGUAGGGAGAGGUUGCGGGGGUGGUUCUGCAUUUUCUAAGUUUUGGUUUUUUUUUUUUUUAAAGAAGAUUCAGAUUUUUCAAAAAAAAAAAUUAUUAUUUUUGCCACGUGGCACACAUUUGGCAGCCACGUCAGCACUUAACGGAUCAAUGGAUGGAAAAUGUAACAGAUGUAUUAUUUUGAAAUAAAAUAGUACUUGAGGUAUGAAAGUGAAAUGUUUUAAAGAUAUUGUAUAGGGUUGUAAUAGACUUCAAACCUGAGGGGCUACUAUGUAAUUUACCCAAUUAUUGUCUUUUAAAUCUCAAAUUUUCAAAAAUCUGUUUGGUUGAGUUUUUAAAAAUAAUUUUUUUGGUUUGAAUUCAAACUACCUUGAGCAGAAAUUGGAGGAGAGAGACAAUUGGGAAAGAGGAGAGAGGAAAUAGUUGGCGAGGAGAGAGAAAGACAUGGAGAGGGCAAGGAGGUGGGGAGAGAGCAAACAAUUACGGUGAGAAGGUGAGGAGUGAGAAGAAAGAGAGGGUGAUGGGACAAAGGCUGAGGAGAGAGAGAGAAUACAGGGUGUGGCGUGGGAAGAGAGGAAAUAGAGGGUUAGGAGAGAAAAAAGAAAGGGCUAAAGAGAGAGCAAAAAAAAAGAUGUUGAGGAGAAAGCAGAAAGAAACUCUAAAACCUCACUUUUAUUUGUUUUUAAGAAAUAGCCUAUAUUUUUAAGUUAGUUUUGAAUCCAAUUUUUAAAAAAGUCAUACCAAACAAGAAUUCAACGCCUAAAACUCAAAAAUUAUUUUUCAGUUUAAAAAGUUGAACUUAAGUAGGAUACCAAAUAAGCCCUUAUAUUUUACAUCUUCAAGUUUUAGGGGAUGUAUUCAAUUGAGAUUUUGAGGGAUUUUAAUUCUUUUAAUGAAUCUAGAAGUAUUUAAUCAAGAUUUUAAGUGAUUCUUUGAAAUUCAAUAUGUAUUCAAUCAGGAUUUUAAGAUAGUUUAUUAAAAUCUUUAGAAAUCCAAGUGUAUUCAAUUAGAAUUUUAAAGAAGUUUAUAACAUUACAAGUGUAUUCAAUUAGAAUUAGAAUUAGAAUUUAAAGAAUUUGGAAAAGUUGAGGAAUUAGAGGGAAUUGGAGAGAUUUUGUAGUUUAUUUUAAGUAUCCACAAAUCUCACAUCUCCCUAUGAGAUUUCGAAGGAAUUGAAUCAAAAUUUUACAUAGAAUCUCUACAAAUUAGUUAAACUCCAUAAAAAUCCAUGGAUUUAUAAAUCCAUUAAAAUAAUGACUCUGGAUUGAGGCUUUCACCCAUAGUGGGAUUACACCUCCAUCUCAGUACUCUAAUUCCUCCAAAUUAUGGAAUUGAAUUCCUAUUUUUUACUGGAUCCCACCUUGUUUUUUAUUCUCAAAAUGAUGAGUAAACACUGGAAUCUUUUUAAAUGGGGAGUGAUUCCCUUUCAUUUCAUCCAGGGCCGGUCCAGAGAUUUUUGAGGCCCAGGGCGACAUAAAAAAAAGUGCCCUAACUUCAUGUAAGAAAAUUAUUUAUUUUCACACAUAAGACAUCUAAAAAAUUAUACUUAGAAAAACACUUCAAACUCAAUAAUUUAGAAACAUAAAAAGACUAAUUUAUUUUGUAUUGAGAGAGGGAAACAAAAAGACUUCGGGCUUACAAGUAGAUAGAUGAUGAGUUUUGUUUUCUAUCUGAACUUUGAAUGUGUUUUUGAAUAAAUCGUGAGAUGUUUUUUUCUUAUUUACUAACCUUAUCAAUAUGGGACUAAAAAAUAAUGAUGUUUUCGAGUUUUUAAUUGAUAUGCAUUAUUAAUGAAUGGGCACUAAAUUAAACAUUUUGAUGACACAUCAUAUAAUUUGCAAAUUUAGUCUACGUAUUAUUCUUUGUUGAAGAUUGGACUUUAAUUAAAACGAAUAUUUAAAAAUAACAACCCACAUAGCUACUAGAUAGUAACUAAAAAUAAAUUAACAGCCAAACAAAAAUUUUUAAAAAUUGAAAAAAAUAAACAUGCACUUAGCAUUUCGAACUUAGGACCUCUUGUUAAUUUUAAACAACAAAAAUCAUUGUUUCUAAUUAAACUUCUUGAUCCUUUAACCAAAUUUUAUAAACUUAUACUCUUAUAAAAAGAAAUUUGUAAAAAAUGGAAAGCAAAUAAGAACACAUGAUGUUUUGAACCCAAGACCUCAUUAUUAUUUUCAAUGACAAACCAUCACUUCUAGUUAAAUUUCUGUGUCUUUGAACCAAAUUUUAUAAAUUUAUACUCUCAUAAAAAUAUAUAUAAAUAUAUCAUCCUAAUAAUUUUGGUGCCCCUAAUUUUUUUGGGCCUUGGACAGUUGCCCUACCUGCACUGGGCCUGAGCCGGCCCUAAUUUCAUCCCAACCCGGAUUGGUAAACACACCAUUACAAAAGCGGAAAUAUUAUACACGUAUGUAUUUUAUUAAUGUGUGAACAUGGUGGAUUUCAUUCUAUUUCUACAAAGCGACGAACCAAUCAGCAACUUACAGUCGUCAAAUUGCAUAACAUGUUAAGUAAUACCACAUCACACCAACAAAUUGUUUACAUUUGUCUCAUGUCAAGUGGAUCCUACCGCGUCCGACACACCUAUCAAUCUUUCUCAGUCGUCAUAUAUCAUUAUCACACACCAACCAAUUGUUCACAAUUGUCACGAAUGUCAUAAAUUCGACCAGCCCGCACAUGAACUCUUGAGACUAUAUAUAUGGUUUGAAGAGUAAAUAAAAUCACUCAAUAUUUUUUCUAAUUGUUCCAUUUCUUUCUCGUCCUUUUUUUUUUUUUUUAUCACCCAAAGAAAAAUUAUGGAUAUCCAUGGUGGAUCUGGUAGGCUUGUGGGGAACAAGAAGGACUACUCAAUACUCUUUUUCUUGAGGAAGGUAUUGAGGGAGGUGCUGUUAGAAGACCGUAGCUUUCACAAGUUAUUGGUGACUGCAGUGCAUGCAGUGUUUCUAGAGUUCGGUUUCAUCCAAUUCGAUUCAUUUUCGGGUGCCCAAGUCAAUCGCUUUCAUCUCUUAGACAAGUGGCCAACGACACCUUUCACGUUGUCGUUUACCUACACUAUGCCCGAAAUUCUGAAAAAUCGGAGUAACUGUGCCUACGUUUUCGGGUCUUUAAUUGGAAUAGAUGGCAUCCUAAUAAGAUUUCAGAAGGUGCGUAACUGUGUCUACGUUUUCGGGUCUUUAAUUGGAAGCGGGUCGGGUUCUUACUGGGUAAUUUUGAACCCCGGAGAGGUUUGGGCCCAUGAUCCGAAUGUUGAACGACACAAAAGGACUUGUCGCUAAAGGAGAAGUUUUGGAACUGUGGAAAACUGUGAAGGAUGAGAUUGUGCUGCCGUUGGCGAUCGAUCUUUAUGCGAACGCUUGUGUGCCGGCUCCGCCGAGGUUCAUGCAGCUUCCGUCGGAGCUUCAAAUGAAGAUUUUGAGGUUGUUGCCCGGUGUGGAUAUUGCCUUGGUGAGUUGUGUGUGUAAGGAAUUGAGGGAUCUUGCUAACGAUGAAGAACUGUGGAAGCAGAAGGUUUUUGAUGAGUUUACUGCUGAGUUUCUUCUGAUCAAACCUAAAGCAAUAUCAGUUUUCAAUAAUGCAUGGUGAAGUUUUUUACAAAUAAAUUGUGAGAAAUUAUAUGAAAAUUUUGAAUAAAAUGAAUAAAUUCUCAUCAAAAUUUUGCUUAGUUCUAUGAACUCUGCUAAAGCAAACACCGAUUACAGUCGUGGAUUGUCCAAUAGAUUAUUGUGACACAUGCCAUGGGCUGUACCAUGUCACACACUAAUUGAAAUAGGAAAAAAAUGUUGGAUAUAUGUCAACAAUUCGUAAUAAAAUAAAUAUGCUAAUAAUAAAUACGAAUAAAUAUAUUCCAGAGACUCAACAAGAUGAAAUAUUAAUUAAGCAGAGUAAUAAAAGAUCGAGGCUUGCGUACCGCAAUGUCCUUGAAACAGAAAUUUCGCCCCUACUCAGUGCUUGUAGUUCUACGGACGUCUGCUUCACCAGGAUUCAACGAUCUAAGUUAGAAAUUCCAGCACCGGAAAAUUGACUUCUGACGAAUAUUAAUGUGGUUCUCUCAGAAAUGAUGUUUAUGAUUGCAGGAGAAGAUUUAUGAUUUUUUCUAUGUUCUAAAUGUCAUGCAGAUGGAUGUAUAUAUAAUGUGAUUAUACCUGUUCGCAACAGGUAUGAGGAAGGGAUGCAUCUAUUGGGAGACAUCUGCUGAGAAGGGUGUUUUUGUUUCUGCGUUCUCACGCUUCAGACUUCAUCUGAAAAGAUGAGUCUAUUGGUAAAAAUAAUUAAUUAA